AUGGAGGAUGUUCAGAAAGAUUACAAGAGCCAGAAGCCUAGCAAAGACAACUUAGAUGUGUGUGACCUGCAUCACCUAGGGAACAGGACAAAGUAUUGAGAGCAGCCUCCUACUUGGGAAAAUUGGACCAGAACAAUGGCUCUUCCAGUGCCUGUUCUUUCACUCCUAUUUUGUGUUGUGGAGAAGAAAUCCCCUUUAUGCAUAGAGAACUUUUCCUUGGUAACAGACCUGGAGCAUCCUGUGCAGAUUCUGUCCAGGGCCUGUCUUGUGAUAAUCCAGUUGGAAGCUUCCUGGGACUUCCAAUUGGAAGCUUCCUGGGGACUUCCUUUCCUGCAAUCACAGCUCCUCUCCUACACACAGCAAGUUUCUAAUGCUAUUCUUGCCAUUAACCCUACUGUGUGCAAAGUGCAUUGACACAGAAAUCUGCUGCAUCUCUGA
RNAcentral lists this long non-coding RNA (438 nucleotides) under Mus caroli (Ryukyu mouse). RNAcentral describes it as "RIKEN cDNA 9330158H04 gene (MGP_CAROLIEiJ_G0006322.1)". The record is from RNAcentral. Lineage: Eukaryota; Metazoa; Chordata; Mammalia; Rodentia; Muridae.